Molecule: long non-coding RNA, 786 nt
Organism: Harpia harpyja (harpy eagle)
Lineage: Eukaryota; Metazoa; Chordata; Aves; Accipitriformes; Accipitridae
Exons: 3
Source: RefSeq, a predicted model, not a curated record
AUUUUGCAUUGAUGGGUGAGGAAGGUGCAGGCGAGAGUGAGAAAAAGAACUAAAAGCAGACCGUGGCACAUCAGAAGGCAUGUCGUUGACGCCUUGCCGUAGUGAGCCCGGGUGGACCGCGAGGUUCGCUGUACUUGGGGGCGCAGAAGCUGGACCUCAAUAUGAAUUAUUCAGAUGCUGCCUUUGAUUCUGCACAGCCAAGAAAAACUGACAUGACAGCCACAGAAUACAGGGACUACUCCUUUCCUUGUGUCCUCCAAUGACAACUCUAAAGUCUGUAAGGUAAAAGCAGGCAUCCAGUGUUCUUUGCUUACCAUCUUAGCUAACAAGGUAAGCUAGUAUUUACUGGGGAUGGAAUGGCAAGUUUGUUCCUUUAUGAAUAGUUUGCUAAAUUUGAUCUAUACUUGGUCUGGCAACUAGUCAUUCUCCAUGGGAUACCAGAAUUAAUUCUGGCAAAGAAGUUCCUUUACCCAAGAAGUACUGGGGUUGUUAGAGCUGCACUGAUAACCAAAACAAGUACUGAAAAUGCAGAAAAAACCUUGUAUUAAAGUCAUCUGGUAACUUCCAAAUAACCCUCUCAGGCUCUGCAAGUGCAGACAACAGCAUGCAAUAAAAUGGAAACUUCUGCUCUAAAUUAGACAUGCAGAGUUACGCGCCAAGUCAUGGUAGCAUACAGUAUGACAGACUCUGAGAUUGGGUACACAUUGAACUAAUUAUGCUUAGUUCAAUGAGGCAACAGAAAGGUGCUGUAUGUAGAUAUAUUAUGUUAGUAUGUUCAUGGUAUCA